UAUUAUGAUGAUUUACUUUUAUUUUAAUCACGACGGUCAACAUAAAUCCAUUGAUGACCACCGCCUGUGACAGGGCAUUUGAUCUGAUA
This 89-nucleotide small nucleolar RNA is filed under the name Aspergillus terreus NIH2624. RNAcentral describes it as "Small nucleolar RNA snR73". It matches the Rfam family "Small nucleolar RNA snR73". Lineage: Eukaryota; Fungi; Ascomycota; Eurotiomycetes; Eurotiales; Aspergillaceae. The record is from Rfam by way of RNAcentral.